CAAAGUGCUGGGAUUACAGGCGUGAGCCAUUGCGCCUGGCCUCUCUGUCUUCUUAUACACAUACUUGGGACAAAAACUGUGUCUUAAUCUCUGAUGCUCAGCCCAAUAACUGAUUCAUAGAAGGUAUUUAAUAAAGUAUAACUACAUAAAUGCAUAAUUAAUUACUCAGGCUUUCCUCAUUUUGCAGAAGACUUUAUUUUAAAUACUGAGCUCUCCUAAGACCUUUCUUUGAGUUUCAUGUUAUGAUGUACCAGUCACCCCAGUCUGCUAUUGUUUUAGCAUUAAAAGUCUUGCCUCUCGGGUACAGUGGCUCAUGCCUGUAAUCCCAGACUUUGGGAGGCUGACGAGGGUGGAUCACUUGAGGCCAGGAGUUUGAGACCAGCCUGGCCAAUUCUGUCUCUAUUAAAAAUACAAAAAUUAGUCAGGCGUUGUGGCGGGCACCUGUAGUCCCAGCUACUUAGGAGGCUGAAGCAUGAGAAUCGCUUGAACCCAGGAGGCAGAGGUUGCAGUGAGCUGAGUUGUGCCACUGCACUCCAGCCUGGGUGAUAGAGUGAGACACACUGUCUCAAAAGAAAAAAUUCUUGCCUCUCCGGAAUGUAGCCCCUCAGUCCUGGGAAAACUGGGAUGGUUAGUCACCUUAUAGCUUCUCAAAGUGAAUCUGAAUGCUUAAAAUGAGAACAAAAUAUUGUGACUUGAAAUUAUACUUUUAAAGUUGUAAGGCUGAUGUCAGUUGGAAUUAGUCAAAUGAGUAUAAUUAAAUCACGAAGUUCAUUAACAUGUUUUUUAAGCUGGGCACAGAGGUAUUUUAUAAUGAUUAUACAUUUCAUUUUAUUUUCCUGUGGAAAUGUGUCCUUGCUUUGUAAAAAAUAGCUUUUCAAGACUUGUUUUGGUUGACUCUUGAUUCACAGGAGGUCGAGAAGGCAAAAUUGAAUUUUAAAAUGCUGUUUCUCCUUGGCAUUACACCCAACCAGAUAAAAAGUAGAACACUGACUUAAGAAGCCAGCUGGGUGUCUGAAUAAUGCCACACAGCACAUACUUGACAGAGUUACCUCCAUUUUGUGUUAAUCAUUUCUAAGGAAAAAAAAAAUAGGCUUAAUUUCAUUGGAGCAAACUGAUAGAAUAAAGUAACAGGUUUUUUUUUUUUUUUGACAGUGGUUAUUCAUAACCUCACUUUCCCUUCUAUAAACCCCAAUUUCAAUACCUUCCUCUGUUUGUCAGCAAAGUGUUUUUCAAUAUUGCAACAGGAUAUUAUGCAAAUAUAAAUCACACUGGAUUGGACUAUUUCCUUAGCAGCAAAAGCAAUGUUCUUGCUGGGAUGAUAAGUGUAAAUGUCUCUAAUUAUCCUUUACUACACAGCAGUCUGAGGAAAAAAUCAGGCUACAAAUAGAAAAAUGAGCUAGACUGUAUAUGUUGAAAAAUAGAUUGUUAAUUUAAUUCAUAAAGAACAAAACAGUUAAUUACUUUAUAGGACAAACUUUCUUGGUCUUUUCUGAUUUCAGAUGUAUAUGUAUGUGAUAUAAUUAUCUGUAUCUUUCACAUAGCUUACAGAUUCCAACAAAAUCAUGAUUCUUGCAUAAUUAAGAAACAAUGCUGAGAUAGAAAAGUCAGCCAGACACGGUGGCUCAUGCCUAUAAUCCCAGUACUUUGGGAGGCCAUGGCGGGUGGAUCACCUGAAAGACUAGCCUGGCCAACAUGGCGAAACCCUUUCUCUACUAAAAAUACAAAAAAUCAGCUGGGCGUGGUGGUGCAUGCCUGUAGUCCCAGCUACUCAGGAGGCUGAGGCAGAAAAAUUGCUUGAACCCGGGAAGCAGAGGUUGCAGUGAACCAAGAUCAUGCCACUGCACUCCAGCCUUGGAGACAAAGUGAGACUCAGUCUCAAAAAAAAAAAAAAUAAUAAAUAAAUAAAAAAUAAGAAAAAGUCGUAAGUCAAUACCAUAGAUGAGGCGCUGAGAUGAACACCAAUGCAGAAUGACUGUAAAUGUCAUCUGUUUAUUCUGCUUCUUUCUAUUUUUAAAUAAAAAGAUGGAAGGUAAGAUGUAAUGCUUAGUUUCAAAAUUUUAAAGAGAUAAUUGAAAUGUACCUAUUAGGUCCUUAUAUCUUCAUGGAUCUGUCAGUUUAAGGAAAUGUUUUGGCAGUCAAGGCAAAAUAAGGGAUGCAGAAAACUAUAUGAUGUGCUCAUGUGUAUUGUCCACUUCCACUGCAGUACGUAUUUUGUUCUUUUUUCUAAGUACGAAUAAGGAGAUUUUGCUGACUUUUCAGAAGUAGCCAAAAACGUUUCCUUGUUCCUAAAAUCAUUAACAACAAUAGCUAACAUAGAUCAAGUGCUUACUAUAUGCCAAGCUAACCAUGUGUAGGAGGGACUUACUAUUAUUAUACCAAUUUUAGAAAUUUAAACAACAAACAAAGAAACCCUCAGACUUCACUUAACUUGAUUGUUCAGGGAUUCACAGCUGGUAAAUGGAAAAACCAGCUUUGAAGCUCCUGGUGCCUGAACAAAGCCCAUGUGCUCUACCAAGUCCUCUCUACUAGGAAGGACUUCAUAUGCAUCUAUAGGAAGCUCUGUGUCCACAUUUUAUGCUGACACAGAUCCUGAGACUGGUAUAAGAUUGGGAUAUUCUUUUCGUUUGUGAGCAGAUUUAUAAUGUGUGUAUUUUUCAAAAAAAGUCUUAACAUUAUCCCCAACUAUCUCAUAUUAAAUUAUGGUGUCUCACACAUGAGAUAAAUUUGUAACAGAUUUCUCACUUAUGCAUAAUUAACCAGCCUUUCACAAAAUAUUUAUAGGUAGUUUAGUAUAGAAAGAAAGACUUUAGGAUCAUUACCAUCAGUAACUUAGAUGGCUGUAGACAACCAUUUGUCAUUGACACCUAAUACAUCCUAUCCUAUAGAUCAUGAAAUGUCCUACUUAUUUUCUAUCUAAUCUCACUUGGUAACUGCACUGGUUCUUCCCACAACUUACUCUCUUACAUGCACUGUUGCUUCUUAUAGAUUUAUUUAUAGGCACAUAACAUCCUUUCAGUCAUUUCAGUUAAGUAGUCUCUAUAAAAAAUAAGUUGUGCUGAAUUGCUUCAAUAAACCUUAGCUACCUUGUGGUAGAGAGACCUUUUGGCUUCAUAAGUUGGUCAAAUUAAUGACUUUAAAAAAUCAUAUGAGUAUGUGCUACAUUCUAAGAUUCUCUAUAGUCUAAAUUCUUUCUAGGAUGAUCGGAAGAAAUCCAAGGUAGAAUUGUACAUCUGCAGGUAAGAUUUGAGGUUUAGUCUGUAAAUUAUUUAAUUUGUACCUCAGUGUUUUUGUUUUUUAACUCUUACUCUAAACAGUGUCUGUUUAUUUGUUUUGGUUUUUUUCCCUUUUUAAAAAAAUUUCUGGUUAAACCUGGAGUAAAAUAAACAUCCAAACAAACAUCAGAGGUAGUGUGGGAGAGAAAAAAGUAUAAUAAAUGCAUUUAGUCUAAUAGAAAGAAGAAAGUCAGACACAAAAUAAGAAACGACUGAGCAAGGUUACAUUGUAUAGUUCCCUUUCUCCAAUAUGUAGCCACUAGCCAGAUGUGGCUACUGAGCAUUUGAAUUAUGGGUAAUUUAUUUAUUUAUUUUUAAAUUUUAUUUUUUGAGUUGAAGUCUUUCUCUGUCGCCCAUGCUGGAGUGCAGUGGUGUGAACUUACUUCACUGAAACACCUGCCUCCCGGGUUCAAGUGAUUCUCCUGCCUCAGCCUCCUGAGUAGCUGGGACUACAGGCGUGCGCCACUUUGCCUGGCUUAUUUUUUGUAUGUUUAGUAGAGACUGGGUUUCACCAUGUUGGCCAGGCUGGUCUUGAACUCCCAACCUCAGGUGAUCUGCCUGCCUCGACCUCCCAAAAAGCUCGGAUUACUGGUGUGAGCCACCACGCCUGGCCGAAUUAUGGGUAAUUUAAAUUACUAUGACAUUGGGUUUUGAAGAUUUAUUAUAGAAGAAAAAAUGUUAAUUAUCUCAUUAACAAAUAACAGUAAUUAUUUACAUUGAUUUCACAUCGAAAAUAUUUUGGAUAAUUUUGUUGAACAUUUUUGAAGACUUCUUAAAUAUAAAACAUUAUAGCACAUAGAUGGCCAACAUAAUAUUUCUGUUGAAUGAUGCUGAUGUAAAGCAAGAGAAAAGAGAUUUUUCAACCUUCAUGAUCAAAGAAAGCUUAACAGAGGAAAUGCUGGAGAAGGACACUGUAUAAGAUGCCUGUGAUACAGGAAGGAAAACCUCACUUCCGAGGACCCUUCACCGAAUUGGAAAAACAUACCCAAUCCUGUCAUCCUGAGAUGAACAGUUUCAUCCUGCUCAUCCUUAGAUGAACAGAUUCCAGAUAAUUGCGCUACUUCAGCUUAAAUCUGGAAUAAUUGGAUUCUGAAUUGGAUUGGACACAUGGAACAGAUAUGAACCAAAGCCAACCCAGCCUCGUUGAGCCAGAGCCCACCUGCAGAAUGUGAGCAGAAGAGAAAUGUUUGAGAGAUGCUCAUUAUGCAGCAUUAUUUCAACAAAACCUGACUAAUACACAUACACAAUAUGAUUUAUCUUCACAACAAGUUGAUGAAGAAGGUACUGCUAGCCUCAUUUCAAACAAGGAAAAUGAGGCCCUGAAAGCUGAAGCUAGAUGACGAUAUAAACUUCGGAGAGAUCACCACAACAGCUUUUGACAACCUUUGUGACAUUUAAACUGGAAACCAGGAAAAUCUGUCAUUUGCCACUGUCUGUUCUCACUCCAGCUGAAGACGCUUCAAGCCCAGCAUCUAGAAAUCUUCUUGACUGGCUACCCUCAGGACUCAGAAACUGAAUUUAUAGUUUUUUUCAACUAUUAGUCUUCAUUUUUAUUUUAUUUUCAUAGAAAUUAAUCCCUCUUUGUUAAAUCCUGUUGGCUGACACUAUCCAGUAGACAUUCUCUAAUACCAAAUCCCAACAGAUGAGUCAGCUGCUCCUACAUGAACCAAAGGUGACCAAGUGAGAAAAUCUGCUUAUGUUGAACAAGAAAGAGGACUAAUGAAGAUUAUUUCCUGGCUAAACUUUAAUCAGGUUUCUGAAUCUCUUCCUAGGCCCAUCUGUGCACUUUCUUGUAAAAUCCAGUUUUAUCGAAAUGGCCCUGCUAAGUCAGUUUAGCCAGAACACCCAUCUUUGAUAUCAGAUAAUCCUCAAUAUCUGAUCUGGUUCCUCAUUCUUACCACCCGCUAGGUGAUGCCUGAUCACUCUGGCCUGUCUUUAGUAGGAAUUCAUUAGGUCCAUUUAGUCAGAACCCCCCAUCAUUGAUGUUUCCACUUAGUAAUUUUCCAUCCAUUGACCCCCACACUGCUUUUUGAAUACAAAUUCCCACUUGCCCAUGUGUUACUGGGAGUGGAUCCCAAUCUGUCUCCCCAGCUGCAAGACCAUGUUGCAGUGGUCCCUAUACCUAUCACGAUAGUCCUGAAUAAACCAUUUUUAUUGUGCUUUAACAAGUAUUAUUAAAUAAUUUAUUCUUAACACUCAGGAAACUCAGGAUAUUUGGGUGAUUUUAAAAAGAGAAUAAUUUACCCAAAUCGAUAGGUGUUGCAGACACAGGCUCAUGACGAGUCCUUGGUUUGAUCUUCUAGCUUCAAGAGGCUUUUCUAAGUCCAAUCUGGAUUCAUUAUCAAAAAUCCCAGCAAAACAAACUUAAAAAGAGCUAAUAUGGCUAAUCAUUAUUCUUGUCUCGCCUGUGUAAAUGAGGAGUAAUUCAAUUCAGUGUAAUGGAUAUAAAAAAGGCUGAGGCAAUCACCAACUGGAUUUCUGUACCGGAGUGAGAGUCUAUUGUUUCCAGGGUUCAGAGAGUUUCUUCACACCUUUUUAAUAUUUUCUCUUUUCUCAUCAACAGCUUCAGAGAUGAGAAAUCACUUUAGCACUUUCUGUCCAAUUUUCCUUUUAGUACCAUUCGUAGCUUCUGGGCAUCCAUCCUAGGAAACCAAAGUGCCCUAAUGAGCUUCCUUAACUGCCUUAGAGUCCCACAAUGUGUCCUCACCAUCGUCCACCUCCUCAUCAAAUAUGAUAUUUUUUCAACUAGCGAUUGAGCAGAGUAAGACUGAGAUAAAUGUAUCAAUACUAAGGUGUUAAUUUUUUUUUUGGUUUUUGUUUUGUUUUGUUUUUUUAGAGGCAGAGUCUCCUUCUACCACCCAGGCUAAAGUGUAGGGGUGCAAUCU
RNAcentral lists this long non-coding RNA (6157 nucleotides) under Homo sapiens (human). RNAcentral describes it as "HSALNT0135844". Lineage: Eukaryota; Metazoa; Chordata; Mammalia; Primates; Hominidae. The record is from RNAcentral.